Molecule: transfer-messenger RNA, 310 nt
Filed under: Eubacteriaceae bacterium
Lineage: Bacteria; Bacillati; Bacillota; Clostridia; Eubacteriales; Eubacteriaceae
Rfam family: transfer-messenger RNA
About the family: Bacterial tmRNA, also known as 10Sa RNA or SsrA, is named for its dual tRNA and mRNA-like properties. Its role is to liberate the mRNA from a stalled ribosome. To accomplish this part of the tmRNA is used as a reading frame that ends in a translation stop signal.
Source: RNAcentral
GGGGAUGAUGAAUCAGGAGUAGCGAGCCGAUGUCUGUCGAUCAUCGUAAAAAGCGGCAAACUAAAAUUAAACGCUAACGAUAAUAAUUACGCGUUAGCUGCGUAAAGCAGCUAAGUUCCCCUCGGGAAACCUGCAGCCCGGGACGGAACGCCAACUUUGCAGGGAACCGCUUUACCGGAUGCCUUGACGGUUUAGCGAUCAACUAAGGCUGGUCUCUAAGGGGUUUUGUUACUGGUACCUCUAAGAGACGAGAUCUAAACCAAUGACUGCGCUCGGAGAAACUUCUGUGGAUUCAUUUUCGGACGCGGGU